This 317-nucleotide ribosomal RNA is filed under the name uncultured bacterium. RNAcentral describes it as "bacterial SSU rRNA". It matches the Rfam family "Bacterial small subunit ribosomal RNA", at positions 477 to 793 of the family's 1533-position model. The record is from RNAcentral.
AGCUGCAGAAGAAGCACCGGCUAACUCCGUGCCAGCAGCCGCGGUAAUACGGAGGGUGCGAGCGUUAAUCGGAAUUACUGGGCGUAAAGCGCAUGCAGGUGGUUUGUUAAGUCAGAUGUGAAAGCCCGGGGCUCAACCUCGGAAUUGCAUUUGAAACUGGCAAACUAGAGUACUGUAGAGGGGGUAGAAGUUUCAGGUGUAGCGGUGAAAUGCGUAGAGAUCUGAAGGAAUACCGGUGGCGAAGGCGGCCCCCUGGACACGAUACUGACACUCAGAUGCGAAAGCGUGGGGAGCAAACAGGAUUAGAUCCCUGGUAG